AUGGCUAAGAAGAGCUGGUUUAAUCUGGUGAAGAGGCUUUUCAUAUGGGACGCACAUUCCACACAAGAGAAGUUUUUUUUCUUCUUCUUAUUCUCUAAGAUUCUGUAUAUUCUAAUGAGAAAGAAAAACUUGAUCUCAGAAAGAGAAAAGAAGGAAAUUGAUAUUUGGAAAACUAAAAACCAGGAAGUUACCUUCAAUUACAGCUCCAACAACAACAUCAAAUGA
This is a non-coding RNA of Vicia faba (fava bean), 225 nucleotides long. The record is from the annotation of a GenBank genome assembly. Lineage: Eukaryota; Viridiplantae; Streptophyta; Magnoliopsida; Fabales; Fabaceae.